Molecule: ribosomal RNA, 441 nt
Filed under: uncultured bacterium
Lineage: Bacteria
Description: partial 16S ribosomal RNA
Rfam family: Bacterial small subunit ribosomal RNA
Source: RNAcentral
CCUACGGGGUGCAGCAGUGGGGAAUAUUGGGCAAUGGGCGCAAGCCUGACCCAGCAACGCCGCGUGAAGGAAGAAGGCUUUCGGGUUGUAAACUUCUUUUCUGAGGGACGAAGAAAGUGACGGUACCUCAGGAAUAAGCCACGGCUAACUACGUGCCAGCAGCCGCGGUAAUACGUAGGUGGCAAGCGUUAUCCGGAUUUAUUGGGUGUAAAGGGCGUGUAAGCGGGAAAGCAAGUCAGAUGUGAAAACUCAGGGCUCAACCCUGAGCCUGCAUUUGAAACUGUUUUUCUUGAGUGCUGGAGAGGCAAUCGGAAUUCCGUGUGUAGCGGUGAAAUGCGUAGAUAGACGGAGGAACACCAGUGGCGAAGGCGGAUUGCUGGACAGUAACUGACGCUGAGGCGCGAAAGCGUGGGGAGCAAACAGGAUUAGAUACCCGAGGUC